GGGGGAGAGGGGACCGCUGCCGCAAUGCGCGCCUCCGCCGAAGCCCGUGUGCCCAGAUGGAGAGAGGGGGCGCCGUGCGCGCGGACUCUGCUUGCGCGCCCCCGCCUGGGGCUAUAAAAGCCUCGCCACCUGCUGCCACUAGUGCGUCCAGUUGCCGGGAGAAGUCAGUUCACCUCCUCCAGCGAUAGCUCCUCUGGACAUGGACCCUGAGACCUGCCCUUGCCCUACUGGCGGUUCCUGCACCUGCGAAGAAGGCUCCUGCAAGUGCGAGGGAUGCAAAUGCACCUCCUGCAAGAAGAAAUGUGAGAAAUGCGCCAAGGAUUGCGUGUGCAAAGGUGGAGAGGGUACGGAGGCUGGGGCUGAGAAGUGCAGCUGCUGCCAGU
Molecule: long non-coding RNA, 383 nt
Organism: Enhydra lutris kenyoni (northern sea otter)
Lineage: Eukaryota; Metazoa; Chordata; Mammalia; Carnivora; Mustelidae
Exons: 3
Source: RefSeq, a predicted model, not a curated record